This 608-nucleotide small RNA is filed under the name Pan troglodytes (chimpanzee). RNAcentral's name for it is "retained intron". Lineage: Eukaryota; Metazoa; Chordata; Mammalia; Primates; Hominidae. The record is from RNAcentral.
GGCGGAGGUUGCAGUGAGCUGAGACUACGCCACUGCAUUCCAGCCUGGACAACAGAGGGAGACUCUGUUUCUAAAAAAAGUAAAAAAUAAAAGUGACUAACCAAUCUCCCCCUCAUUCUAGAUGUAUAUAGCUCUGUCUUCAGUCCAUGCUCUGAUCCUUUGUGGAUUUCAGUUCAUCUCCUGUGUCCGAGGGCAGUGGACUGAAUGCAGUGAUUUUUCACCUCCGAUAACUGUAAUCCUGUUGAUCUUCCUGUGCCUUGAGGGUCUUCUGUUUUUCACUUUCACUGCAGUUAUGUUUGGCACCCAAAUCCACUCCAUAUGCAAUGACGAGACGGAGAUCGAGCGAUUGAAAAGUGAGAAGCCCACAUGGGAGCGGAGGCUGCGAUGGGAAGGGAUGAAGUCCGUCUUUGGGGGGCCCCCCUCACUCCUCUGGAUGAAUCCCUUUGUGGGCUUCCGAUUUAGGCGACUGCCCACGAGACCCAGAAAAGGCGGCCCGGAGUUCUCAGUGUGAGGCGUGGCUCAUCAGACUGAAACUUGCUCACAGACUUCCAGUUAUUUAUUUGGGGUCUGAAGGGUAUCAACAGCUCAUCUGUGACCAACAGGGCAAC